Molecule: long non-coding RNA, 556 nt
Filed under: Callithrix jacchus (white-tufted-ear marmoset)
Lineage: Eukaryota; Metazoa; Chordata; Mammalia; Primates; Cebidae
Description: lncRNA (ENSCJAG00000063700.2)
Source: RNAcentral
AGGUUUAGAAAAGAAAUUAUCAAAUAAUAUUUCUAAUAAGAAAUGGAUAUUUUUCAAUUUUGCCUUAGCUUAAGGUUGCUCUAUGUCAUGGUUCAAAUUCAGUGUUCAAUAACUUAUUGCCUAAAUGUACAAUGAUCUAUCUGGUCCCCUCAAUGAGGCCAGAAGAAAAGAAUAAACUGGUAAAAAGGGGGCUAAGAUCCUCCAAGAACUGAGUUUGUGUUCCAGCUCUAUCACUUACUUUUGAUUAUCUGUGGGCAAUUUAUGUAAUGUAUUUUAAAUUAUGUUUUCCAUACCAGUAACAGGGACACAAUAAUUUACAUCCUGCAUAUCUUGAGACUAAAUGAGUCAGUAUGUAUAACAGAACUUUGUGGUGCUUUACAAAUUGUAAUAUUGAUGUGUUUUUGACUCAGCAGGCCCUGUUGACUGGAGGGUGGCCAUUUGAUAACACAGAUUCUUUCCUGAGGAGACUUUGGCUUCUGGUGACUUGGGUCCCGGGCAGGAACUAAUCAAGGUAACAACUUGACUCACGGAGAACAAAGAAAAGCAAGACGGGACA